Molecule: non-coding RNA, 33 nt
Filed under: unclassified sequences
Description: L31-Firmicutes ribosomal protein leader
Rfam family: L31-Firmicutes ribosomal protein leader
Source: RNAcentral
CUCUGACUCAGCAAAUGGAUCAGGGCAAAGGAG